GACGAACGCUGGCGGCGUGCCUAAUACAUGCAAGUUGAGCGCUGAAGGUUGGUACUUGUACCAACUGGAUGAGCAGCGAACGGGUGAGUAACGCGUGGGGAAUCUGCCUUUGAGCGGGGGACAACAUUUGGAAACGAAUGCCAAUACCGCAUAAAAACUUUAAACACAAGUUUUAAGUUUGAAAGAUGCAAUUGCAUCACUCAAAGAUGAUCCCGCGUUGUAUUAGCUAGUUGGUGAGGUAAAGGCUCACCAAGGCGAUGAUACAUAGCCGACCUGAGAGGGUGAUCGGCCACAUUGGGACUGAGACACGGCCCAAACUCCUACGGGAGGCAGCAGUAGGGAAUCUUCGGCAAUGGACGAAAGUCUGACCGAGCAACGCCGCGUGAGUGAAGAAGGUUUUCGGAUCGCAAAACUCUGUUGGUAGAGAAGAACGUUGGUGAGAGUGGAAAGCUCAUCAAGUGACGGUAACUACCCAGAAAGGGACGGCUAACUACGUG
This 497-nucleotide ribosomal RNA is filed under the name uncultured bacterium. RNAcentral describes it as "partial 16S ribosomal RNA". It matches the Rfam family "Bacterial small subunit ribosomal RNA", at positions 28 to 507 of the family's 1533-position model. The record is from RNAcentral.